Molecule: non-coding RNA, 3929 nt
Organism: Bactrocera oleae (olive fruit fly)
Lineage: Eukaryota; Metazoa; Arthropoda; Insecta; Diptera; Tephritidae
Source: RefSeq, a predicted model, not a curated record
ACCAAGGAACAUUAAUAUAAUGAUUUUAUUACAAUAUAAAAAGCAAUGCCAUAUAGUUGAAUAUACCACCUUGAUCAAAAAUCAAGGACUUUAUUCAUAAAAUUUAAAAGUAUAGCAUAUUGUUUAAAAUCAACUUUGUAAGAUUCAAAAAACUCCUCGGUGAGUACAAUGCAUUUAUUUAAAUGCUUAAAAAUAUUUUUCAACCAUUUCUUAUACAGGAUUUUCCAAUAAGAGUGAUAUGAUAAAAAAAAACCCCUCGUAAGAUCAAUGUCAAAAUUGACUUCUUGAAGAAAUCUGGUUUUUUGCUAAAGACCAAUGAGUUCAACUUACCUCACAAAAAGUAGUCGAAUGGUAUUAAAUCGCAACUAUUGGAGGCCAUUCAAUGUCACAAUUUCUGAAUUUAGCUAGUCGCCAAACUUUUCACGCAAUAAUUCGGUUGUUGCUGUGUGGCACGUAGCCCCGUCUUGUUGGAACCAGAUGUUGUCAAGAUCAACUUUUUCCAAUUGCGGCUGUUAUCAUCAAUUGAUGAUGUUAUCAUCGAUCCAUACCGCUCUCCAUUGAUAGUAACGGUAUCUCCAGCUUCAUUUCGAAAGAAGUACGAACCGAUGAUUCCACCAAAUCAAAAAACACACCAAAAUGUCAAUUUAGGUGCAUGUAACGGUUGUUAAUGAAUAAUUUGUGGAUUUUCUACACACCAGAAUCAACUGUUUUGUUUAUUUUCUUUUCUACGCAGAUGAAACUUAGCCUCAUCGGGGAAGACUAUAAAAUGGUAAAGGCGAACGAAGAGUUGCAAUUGGAGAACGAUUAUUUUGAUCAUGACAAAUGAAAAUGGCCGAAACGAUUCUUAGAAAUCAUAUCAUCUCUAUUGGAAAAGCUGAUAUUUGAGAGUUCGGAAUGGUUAUUAGGACUGGUAUCGAUUAUUCUAAUUAGCCGUCGAUAAAUUCGAUAGAUAUACCCAAAACAGCGUAGCUUUAAUGAUAGAUGUGGCAACAGAACAAAAAACUAGAACUUAUAUGGAGUGAAUGUGAGAGCAAUACCCUGGUCAUUCCUGAAACUUUUCGCUGAAAAAUAAUUGCAGUUACAUCCAAGUGUAAUCAUUCAUUGAAUGCCUCGCUCUCCCAUACCAACUCUUUUACCACCUCAGAUGGUACUUGCUCUUUAUCGUAUGGCAUAUAACCUGACACCAAUCGGUAAGCACUCCCUCCCGUCUCCCAGCAUAGUGCUGCUGGGUCACGGUUGUUAUAAGCGGGGUAACAUAAAAACGUUAAGGUUUUUCUUUGCCAUUAUACAUGCCCUGAUCUUACCUUCACAAUUUGCCAUAUAUAGCUUAUAGUUCGGUGUCCUCAGUCCGCAAAUGCGCCUCCAUUAACCCAUGGGGACAAACUCAGUCUGUUCUAUUGCCAGAUGGUUAAUUAGAGCUAUUGGAGCUAGUUUGCUGUGAUGGGGACUCAUUUGUAAAAGUCGCAUUAAUAACUGUUAUAUCUGCGUCUUCCUUAAAGCUGGGCUAUUUAAGGACCACCAGCCAAGUUGAUCCUCGUCACGGGUCUCAUGACACCUUGAUCCAGCCCUUGAUGUACCCGUUACCAUAGUAACACUCCCUAUCUGGGUGCUAUGCUAUUGAGGAGCAACCAACACCCAGGUAGGAAGUCUAACAUUAGCUAGAUACCUCACCACAUAAUGGGUGAACUGUUACCAGCUCGUUCCUGUCUGCGUUGUUGGGGGAUUUUCGCCGACCAAUUUGUAUUGUAAAUGAUUAUGGUUUAUAUUUUAACAAAAUUUUAAUGCUACAACUUUAUUACUCAUACAGAUGCGAUCAAAAUUAAGUGAACGUACAGACCAAGGAUAUUCUGCUUUAAUUAACAUUAUUAAAAGGCGUAACAAUGUCGGCAUUUAAAGUAACUGUAAAUCAAAUAGUCGAUUUACAGUUACUUUAAAUUCAUAAGGCAUAUUGUAUUUCAAUAGCAAAAACUUUCAGCAAAUCUUCAGCAGAUUAUAAAAAUAUUCAGCCGUGAAAAUCGAAUUGCUCUAAAGUUUUCCACAGGAAGGCCUGGAAUUACAUCAAAACGUGUUGUUUCUAGGAUUAUAAAUAUUUCUAAGUCGAAUAGGUUUUAUUCCGCACCGAAAAUUGAGACUCUGCUGGUUAUGGAAGAGAAAAGUUAACCGCAUUUUCCUACAGUUCAUAGACGCUUACACGAUGGGGAUAUGUACGGUAGGGUACCACGGAAAGUUCCUUAUAUAAACAAGGUCAACUUGGCAAAACGGAAGAAAUUUUAUGUCGUGAAACCAAAUAAUUUUUCAUCAAAAAUUUUUUGCUCGGACGAAUUAAUGAUUAGAUGAAGUAUAGUAGUCAAAUGUAUGUGUGGCGUAGAGUAGGCGAAGCAUUGACAUUCAAAUGUAUAAAACCUACACUUAAAGAAAACAAUAAGGGCCUCGUGGUAUGGGGCUGCACUUGUGCAAAUAGGUGGUACUUGAAGACAAAGUUAAUGCUUAAGUGUAUCUUUUAAUGAAAGAAGUCAAGUAUUUUAUCCUUCAACAAGACAACGCUUUUAUUCAUAAUGCCAAAAUUGUUAGUAAAUACCUUGAUAGAAACGUGAGGUUGCUGGAAUGGCCCUGAUAAAUCCCUUACCUUUCCCCUAUUGGAAAUUUAUGGGCGUGGUUAAAAACUAAGGUUAUUGAGAGAAAGUCUCGUAGUUUUUAUAAAUUAAAUGAUUUAAUUAUGGAAAUAUGGCCAACAUUUUCACCAGAAACGUGUGAAAAGUACAGGGUCCGGCACUCGGAAGUGUAACCAACUUCAGACCGCUCGCGUAGCUGACGCACGAGCAUCCGCUGUUUGUAAGUUAGCAAAAUGACAGCUUAGAAUAUUGUUUACAAGCACACGAAAGCAUUUUGCCGAAAGUGAACGCAAAAAAAAGGAAGUAGUAAUGGAUUUCAAACGUGUGAUUGCAUUAUAUUAAGCUAGAAAAUAACAACCAGCUAUUGUACGAGAGCUCAAACACCUAAGAGUGAAUACAGUUUUCGUUUAUCGCACCAUAACUCGAUAUAAUAAUACUUUUAGCAUCGUAAAACGCCAUGGUGGUGGUCAUCAAAAGACUGCAACGUCUUGUGAGAUGGUUAAAAAAGUGAAAAAGCGCCUUGAGCUAAAUCGCCGACGAAGUGCCAAUCAAAUGGCAAAAUAAUUGAAAAUAUUUGAUAGUAGCAUCCGCCGCAUACUGAAAAAUGAAGGUUAAGCCUUAUAAGAUUCAAAAGGCGCAUGAUCUCACACCCAAGCAGCAACAAGUCAGACUUCAGAGAGCAAAGGAUUUGCACCAGGAGGCAGCACCCGCCACAGGUAAUGGUUUGGACCGCUGUAAUCGCAGAUGGGCGCUCUGCAAUCGUUUUUCUGGCGUCAAGGUAAAUGCUCAAUAUUAUCGGGAAAGUAUUCUGGAAGCUGCUUUGAAGUCGUGGGCAGACAAACAUUUCGGUUGCAAACCGUGGACGUUCCAACAAGACGCGCCACCAUCUUAUAAAGCUCGAGUGAACUAAGAAUGGCUGAAAAACAACGUUCCGAACUUCAUAACGUCCACACAAUGGUUUUCGAAUUUAUCAGACGCUAAUCCGAUGGAUUAUUCUAUUUGGGCUAUUUUGGAGAGCAAGGUUCGAACUAAAAAAUACACCAGUCUCGAGGCGCUGAAGAAAGCCGUUGCCCGCGAGUGGGUCAAAAUACCUGGAAGUCACAUUCGGGCUGCUUGCGAUUCGUUUUUGGACUAUCUCAAGGCCAUAGUCAAGGCAAAAGGUGGUCAUAUCGAGCAAAAACAAAUUGUUUCCGAAUUUUGUGUUAUUGUCACACAUUUUUUGCGUUGAAAUGAUUAAUGCCGUUAUAAUUGGUUACACUUCGAGUUCCGGACCCUGUAUUGUCUUCGUUGCCGCAGCGCUUAAGCGCUUAUUUUAUA